RNAcentral lists this ribosomal RNA (520 nucleotides) under Candida albicans. Its description in RNAcentral is "eukaryotic LSU rRNA". The stretch from base 137 to 290 matches the Rfam family "5.8S ribosomal RNA". Lineage: Eukaryota; Fungi; Ascomycota; Pichiomycetes; Serinales; Debaryomycetaceae. The record is from RNAcentral.
AUUUGCUUAUUGCACCACAUGUGUUUUUCUUUGAAACAAACUUGCUUUGGCGGUGGGCCCAGCCUGCCGCCAGAGGUCUAAACUUACAACCAAUUUUUUAUCAACUUGUCACACCAGAUUAUUACUUAAUAGUCAAAACUUUCAACAACGGAUCUCUUGGUUCUCGCAUCGAUGAAGAACGCAGCGAAAUGCGAUACGUAAUAUGAAUUGCAGAUAUUCGUGAAUCAUCGAAUCUUUGAACGCACAUUGCGCCCUCUGGUAUUCCGGAGGGCAUGCCUGUUUGAGCGUCGUUUCUCCCUCAAACCGCUGGGUUUGGUGUUGAGCAAUACGACUUGGGUUUGCUUGAAAGACGGUAGUGGUAAGGCGGGAUCGCUUUGACAAUGGCUUAGGUCUAACCAAAAACAUUGCUUGCGGCGGUAACGUCUACCACGUAUAUCUUCAAACUUUGACCUCAAAUCAGGUAGGACUACCCGCUGAACUUAAGCAUAUCAAUAAGGCGGGAGGAAGGAUUGCCUACAUG